CGCCCCCUGAUAUCAAGGGAGCGAACUCUGUCUAUGUCCGUCAAACAAACGAGGAAGUAAUGGCGUCUCGCGUCGUUUCGCUUUCCGAUAUUCCUGACAAAUUAUCAUAAAUGUGACAUUACAAUGCGAAAAAAAUAGAAGUCAAAGGAAUUUGUAACUGGCUGCUACAUCGGAAGGCUCGAUAUAUCUUUAGAAAAUGACGAUAUCUAACAUGUACGUGGUGAAAUCUAUCCAAGUCAGAGAAAAUCGGAUAGCCGACAUGUUGUCAAUAUUGACAUCGAUACAAAUGAAAAGCGUGUGUGUGACGCAUACUGUAAAUGCAAACAAGGGAAAGUGUGGUCUUUUGAAGAGAGUUCUUGAAGUUGUUCAGCAUGUUGUUUUGAUGGAUUCUUGGAAGGAUGUACCUCUAUGAUGUUAGCUUCAGUUCUGGAGUAUAACACCAGUUGUUGCAUAUUUAAUAUCAGAUUUAUUAAAUACAUUGUUGUUCUGCAAACAUUACUUAAACUUUGAUAUUUCUUUGGUGUUUAUGUAUGAUAUUGUAGGUGAAUAUCUCUUUAUUGCAAUGGCAAAUAUAUUUUAAAAUAUAUAGCAUUAGCAGAAGUUAUUUUUCACUGUUAAAGCUGCACUUUCACAGAUUGAUCACUUUGACAACUUACACAGGAUUCGAUUGCAUUUAUCAUAUUUUGGCUCGGAGAAGUUUGCUUUGUGAUUUAUAUAUUAGGUCUUAAUUUAAAGAAUGCCAAAAUAAGCCGAUUCUGAGACAAAAAGUGUCCAACUAGAAUUCUGUGAGAGUGCAACUUUAAGAAUACUGUUAAUCGAGUGUGCAUGUGAUCCGGACUCUGAACAUUGGAUGAACUAUCAUUAAAUAUUGUAGAUUUACGUAAAUGGCCCAAAAUAUAAGAAUAACAAUGAAAAUAUGUA
Mya arenaria is the source of this 921-nucleotide long non-coding RNA. RefSeq lists it as uncharacterized. NCBI's taxonomy places the organism in Eukaryota, Metazoa, Mollusca, Bivalvia, Myida, Myidae. The record is from RefSeq and is a predicted model, not a curated record. The transcript has 2 exons.